GGUCAAUACGGGGAGGCGGACUGGGGAGUAGGUAGGGGGCUAUCGUGGGCCGGAAUCAUUGGGCGGAAAGAGCGGGUAGGCGGCCCGGUAAGUCCGCUGUAAAAGUCAAAGGCUCAACCUUGGAAUGUCAGUGGAUACUGCCGGGCUAGAGUCCGGAAGAGGCGAGUGGAACUCCUGGUGUAGCGGUGGAAUGCGCAGAUAUCAGGAAGAACACCGACGGCGAAGGCAGCUCGCUGGGACGGUACUGACGCUGAGACGCGAAAGCGUGGGGAGCGAACAGGAUUAGAUACCCGGGUAGUC
This 300-nucleotide ribosomal RNA is filed under the name uncultured Methanocalculus sp. RNAcentral's name for it is "bacterial SSU rRNA". The stretch from base 52 to 300 matches the Rfam family "Bacterial small subunit ribosomal RNA", at positions 547 to 795 of the family's 1533-position model. The record is from RNAcentral. Lineage: Archaea; Methanobacteriati; Methanobacteriota; Methanomicrobia; Methanomicrobiales; Methanocalculaceae.